ACUGCCACUAUGAAGUUAACUCUACCCCAGACAAAACCAGAACACUAAUGGCCAAAAAAGAGAAAACUGUUUUUUCAUGCUUGCAGCAGACUGGCAAUGAAUUCAAAUUUGUAUGAUUAUCUAUUUCUUUUGGAGUCCAACAUUACCCUUGGCAGGAUCUUCAUGAUUAUGAUGUGGAAGAGGGGAAAAAAGAGUGCAUAAUGCUGAGGGAAAAGAAGAAAAUGGUCCUUGGAAAAACUGCUUUCUGAAAAGAAAAGUAGCUGAAGCCUCUAAUAAUUGACUUUGAGAACCCAGUGAGGUACCCAACACUGCUGCUAGCUCUCAGGAAGCUCUACAAUGUGGUGAAAAAUACCCAGGAGCAGAAAUCCUACUGAGAAGUUAACCCUCUGGAUCCCACCAAAAAAUUAACCUCCUGAAUGUGCAGCACAGAAGAGCUGGCAAAGGCUUCCAUGGAGAAAGAAGUGCCUGU
Cyanistes caeruleus (blue tit) is the source of this 469-nucleotide non-coding RNA. The record is from RefSeq and is a predicted model, not a curated record. NCBI's taxonomy places the organism in Eukaryota, Metazoa, Chordata, Aves, Passeriformes, Paridae.